This 431-nucleotide ribosomal RNA is filed under the name uncultured bacterium. RNAcentral describes it as "bacterial SSU rRNA". It matches the Rfam family "Bacterial small subunit ribosomal RNA", at positions 42 to 473 of the family's 1533-position model. The record is from RNAcentral.
UCAGGCCUAACACAUGCAAGUCGAGGGGUAGAGUUAGCUUGCUAACUUGAGACCGGCGCACGGGUGCGUAACGCGUAUGCAAUCUACCUUGUACAGAGGGAUAGCCCAGAGAAAUUUGGAUUAAUACCUCAUAGUAUCUUCGAGAGGCCUCUCUUGAUUAUUAAAGUUCCAACGGUACAAGAUGAGCAUGCGUCCCAUUAGCUAGUUGGUAUGGUAACGGCAUACCAAGGCUAUGAUGGGUAGGGGUCCUGAGAGGGAGAUCCCCCACACUGGUACUGAGACACGGACCAGACUCCUACGGGAGGCAGCAGUGAGAAAUAUUGGUCAAUGGGCGAGAGCCUGAACCAGCCAUGCCGCGUGCAGGAAGACGGUCCUAUGGAUUGUAAACUGCUUUUAUACAGGAAGAAACCCUCCCACGUGUGGGAGCUGAC